Molecule: non-coding RNA, 727 nt
Organism: Arachis ipaensis
Lineage: Eukaryota; Viridiplantae; Streptophyta; Magnoliopsida; Fabales; Fabaceae
Source: RefSeq, a predicted model, not a curated record
UGAUAUACAAGAGACAAAAUAAUUUUUUCAAAACCAGUUUCCUUCCAUUUCUCAGUUUCUUCAAUCAUUUCUUCUAUCGAUUAGAUGGACAUCUCAUUACUACUUUUCUAUAUAAAGGAAUGAAGUUCAUUGCAAUACUCCAUGCACAACGAAAAAGCUUAUAGUAAUAUCUAUUUAGAUUUCUUAGUGUUAUCAUAUUCCGUUGUUUGUUUUAGCUCUUUCAUGAUGGUAGCCAAUCUCGACUUCAUCAAGGAUGUGAAUGAUUUUCAAGGGGACAAACCUUGGACCCUUAAGAUGAGACCUAUUUGCAAGUGGAAGUUGCCUUCAUUUACCAAAAAGCGGUUCGAACCAUCUAUGGAAUUGGUCUUUAUUGAUCAGCAGACUACAUGGGAUUGCUAACUGGGAAGACUGAGCUUCUUACUUACACUAAGAAUGAUCAGACUUCACAUUAUUUAACCAUUCAGCUGGAUGACCUUACUAGCGAUGGAAAAAUAUUGUGCACACUAUGGCAGAGCUAUGCUCGCCAAUUGCUUUAUCAUCUCGAGAAUCAUCUAGCAACUGAAUAUAUUGUUCUUCAAUUUGUAAAAAUGAAAAAAUUUAAUUGUUAAUUUCUAAAUUUUUCCAUUUUUUAUUUUUAUUUGUAUAUGAAUUUUAUUUGUUAGCGCCUUAAGUUUGUCCAUAUUCUUUCCAAUCCUAUAUAAUAAUAUGUUAUGGAUGUGUGUGGGAU